Molecule: ribosomal RNA, 440 nt
Filed under: uncultured bacterium
Lineage: Bacteria
Description: partial 16S ribosomal RNA
Rfam family: Bacterial small subunit ribosomal RNA
Source: RNAcentral
CCUACGAGUGGCUGCAGUGGGGAAUAUUGCACAAUGGGGGAAACCCUGAUGCAGCGAAGCAGCGUGAGUGAUGAAGUAUUUAGGUAUGUAAAGCUCUAUCAGCAGGGAAGAAAAUGACGGUACCUGAUUAAGAUGCCCCGUCUAACUACGUGCCAGCAGCCGCGGUAAUCGGUAGGGGGCAAGCGUUAUCCGGAGUUACUGGGUGUAAAGGGAGAGUAGACGGCAGCACAAGUCUGGAGUGAACUGCCGGGGCCUAACCCCGGAACUGAUUUGGAAACUGGGCAGCUAGAGUGCAGGAAAGGUAAGUGGAAUUAGUAGUGUAGCGGGGAAAUGCGUAGAUAUGAGGAGGAACACCAGUGGCGAAGGCGGCUUACUGGACUGUAACUGACGUUGAGGCUCGAAAGCGUGGGGAGCAAACAGGAUUAGAGACCCCAGUAGUC